RNAcentral lists this long non-coding RNA (318 nucleotides) under Mytilus galloprovincialis (Mediterranean mussel). Lineage: Eukaryota; Metazoa; Mollusca; Bivalvia; Mytilida; Mytilidae. The record is from RNAcentral.
AAAACUCAAAAACUUAACAUUGACCACUGAACCAUGAAAAUGAGGUCAAGGUCACAUGACAUCUGCCCGCUAGACAUGUACACCUUACAAUCAUUCCAUACAACAAAUAUAGUAGACCUAUUGCAUAUAGUAUGAGAAAAACAGACCAAAACACAAAAAAUUAACUAUAACCACUGAACCAUGAAAAUGAGGUCAAGGUCAGAUGACACCUGCCAGUUGGACAUGUACACCUUACAGUCCUUCCAUACACCGAAUAUACUAGCCCUAUUGCUUAUAGUAUCUGAGAUAUGGACUUGACCACCAAAACUUAACCUUGUU